UAGAGUUUGAUCAUGGCUCAGAUUGAACGCUGGCGGCAGGCCUAACACAUGCAAGUCGAGCGGCAGCACAGGGGAACUUGUUCCCUGGGUGGCGAGCGGCGGACGGGUGAGUAAUGGCUGGGAACCUGCCCUGAUGUGGGGGAUAACAGUUGGAAACGACUGCUAAUACCGCAUGAUGUCUACGGACCAAAGAGGAGGACCUUCGGGCUUCUCGCGUCAGGAUGGGCCCAGUUGGGAUUAGCUAGUUGGUAGGGUAAUGGCCUACCAAGGCGACGAUCCCUAGCUGGUUUGAGAGGAUGAUCAGCCACACUGGAACUGAGACACGGUCCAGACUCCUACGGGAGGCAGCAGUGGGGAAUAUUGCACAAUGGGCGCAAGCCUGAUGCAGCCAUGCCGCGUGUGUGAAGAAGGCCUUCGGGUUGUAAAGCACUUUCAGCAGUGAGGAAGGUUACGUAGUAAAUACCUGCGUGAUUUGACGUUAGCUGCAGAAGAAGCACCGGCUAACUCCGUGCCAGCAGCCGCGGUAAUACGGAGGGUGCGAGCGUUAAUCGGAAUUACUGGGCGUAAAGCGCAUGCAGGCGGUCUGUUAAGCAAGAUGUGAAAGCCCCGGGCUUAACCUGGGAACCGCAUUUUGAACUGGCAGGCUAGAGUCUUGU
Molecule: ribosomal RNA, 656 nt
Filed under: uncultured bacterium
Lineage: Bacteria
Description: bacterial SSU rRNA
Rfam family: Bacterial small subunit ribosomal RNA
Source: RNAcentral